This 160-nucleotide small nucleolar RNA is filed under the name Sorex araneus (European shrew). Lineage: Eukaryota; Metazoa; Chordata; Mammalia; Eulipotyphla; Soricidae. The record is from RNAcentral.
GGCGGACCCCAUCCAAAUGACCUGCCGACCCAUAACGCAGAUCAAUAAUUCAGCAGUUAGAAGAGUAGGUAGCGUCCUGCAGGAAGGGCAAGUUUUUCGAAAACACCAUAAGGUUCUCUGGCCCAAUGAGUGGAGUUUGAUAUUAAUUCUUGCUACAAAU